AAAUGAAUAGACGGGGGCCCGCACAAGCAGUGGAGUAUGUGGUUUAAUUCGACGCAACGCGAAGAACCUUACCAGGGCUUGACAUAUACAUGAAAGUCUAAGAGAUUAGACCCCUCUUCGGAGCGUGUAUACAGGUGGUGCAUGGUUGUCGUCAGCUCGUGUCGUGAGAUGUUGGGUUAAGUCCCGCAACGAGCGCAACCCCUGUUCUUAGUUACCAGCGAGUUAAGUCGGGAACUCUAAGAAGACUGCCGGUGAUAAAUCGGAGGAAGGUGGGGACGACGUCAAAUCAUCAUGCCCUUUAUGUCCUGGGCUACACACGUACUACAAUGGCUGUAACAAAGGGAAGCUAAGCCGCGAGGUGGAGCAAAACCCAAAAAAGCAGUCUCAGUUCGGAUUGAAGGCUGAAAUUCGCCUUCAUGAAGCCGGAAUUGCUAGUAAUGGCAGGUCAGCAUACUGCCGUGAAUACGUUCCCGGGCCUUGUACACACCGCCCGU
RNAcentral lists this ribosomal RNA (494 nucleotides) under uncultured bacterium. RNAcentral's name for it is "bacterial SSU rRNA". It matches the Rfam family "Bacterial small subunit ribosomal RNA", at positions 903 to 1397 of the family's 1533-position model. The record is from RNAcentral.